GAUGAACGCUGGCGGCGUGCCUAAUACAUGCAAGUCGAGCGAACGGACGAGAAGCUUGCUUCUCUGAUGUUAGCGGCGGACGGGUGAGUAACACGUGGAUAACCUACCUAUUAGACUGGGAUAACUUCGGGGAACCGGAGCUAAUACCGGAUGAUAUUUUGAACCGCAUGGUUCAAAAGUGAAAGACGGUCUUGCUGUCACUUAUAGAUGGAUCCGCGCUGCAUUAGCUAGUUGGUAAGGUAACGGCUUACCAAGGAAACGAUGCAUAGCCGACCUGAGAGGGUGAUCGGCCACACUGGAACUGAGACACGGUCCAGACUCCUACGGGAGGCAGCAGUAGGGAAUCUUCCGCAAUGGGCGAAAGCCUGACGGAGCAACGCCGCGUGAGUGAUGAAGGUCUUCGGAUCGUAAAACUCUGUUAUUAGGGAAGAACAUAUGUGUAAGUAACUGUGCACAUCUUGACGGUACCUAAUCAGAAAGCCACGGCUAACUACGUG
This 497-nucleotide ribosomal RNA is filed under the name uncultured bacterium. RNAcentral describes it as "partial 16S ribosomal RNA". It matches the Rfam family "Bacterial small subunit ribosomal RNA", at positions 28 to 507 of the family's 1533-position model. The record is from RNAcentral.